UACGUAGGGGGCUAGCGUUGUCCGGAAUCAUUGGGCGUAAAGAGCGCGUAGGCGGCCAGAUAAGUCCGGUGUGAAAGUCACAGGCUCAACCUGUGAAUGCCGCUGGAAACUGUCUGGCUUGAGUCCGGGAGAGGCGAGUGGAAUUCCUGGUGUAGCGGUGAAAUGCGCAGAUAUCAGGAGGAACACCUAUUGCGAAGGCAGCUCGCUGGGACGUAACUGACGCUGAGACGCGAAAGCGUGGGGAGCAAACAGG
This 253-nucleotide ribosomal RNA is filed under the name uncultured bacterium. Its description in RNAcentral is "partial 16S ribosomal RNA". It matches the Rfam family "Bacterial small subunit ribosomal RNA", at positions 524 to 776 of the family's 1533-position model. The record is from RNAcentral.